Molecule: ribosomal RNA, 914 nt
Filed under: uncultured bacterium
Lineage: Bacteria
Description: bacterial SSU rRNA
Rfam family: Bacterial small subunit ribosomal RNA
Source: RNAcentral
GAGAUAGAACAUGGCUCAGAAUCAACGCUGGCGGCGUGCCUCAGACAUGCAAGUCGAACGCGAAAGUCCCCUUCGGGGGACAAGUAGAGUGGCGCACGGGUGAGUAACACGUAGGUAAUCUACCUUCGGAUGGGGAAUAACAAUCGGAAACGGUUGCUAAUACCGCAUAAUGCAGCGGCACCUAAUGGUGACAGUUGUUAAAGCGGGGGAUCGAAAGACCUCGCGUCUGAAGAGGAGCCUGCGGCGGAUUAGCUAGUUGGUAAGGUAAUGGCUUACCAAGGCAACGAUCCGUAACCGGCCUGAGAGGGCGGUCGGUCACACUGACACUGACAUACGGGUCAGACUCCUACGGGAGGCAGCAGUCGGGAAUUUUGGGCAAUGGGCGAAAGCCUGACCCAGCAACGCCGCGUGAAGGAUGAAAUCCCUCGGGAUGUAAACUUCGCAAGAACGGGAAGAAUAAGUAGGGGACAAUACCCCCUAUGAUGACGGUACCGUUUGUAAGCUCCGGCUAACUCCGUGCCAGCAGCCGCGGUAAUACGGGGGGAGCAAGCGUUGUUCGGAUUUACUGGGCGUAAAGGGCGCGUAGGCGGUCAGCACAAGUCAGUUGUGAAAUCUCCGGGCUUAACUCGGAAAGGUCAACUGAUACUGUGCGACUAGAGUGCGGAAGGGGCAACUGGAAUUCUUGGUGUAGCGGUGAAAUGCGUAGAUAUCAAGAGGAACACCUGCGGCGAAGGCGGGUUGCUGGGCCGACACUGACGCUGAGGCGCGAAAGCCAGGGGAGCGAACGGGAUUAGAUACCCCGGUAGUCCUGGCCUUAAACGAUGAAUGCUUGGUGUCUGGGGUUAUAUAGUCCCCGGGUGCCGUCGCUAACGCUUUACGCAUUUCGACUCAGGAGAGUUACGGGAUCGCAAGAC